UGGGGAAUAAUGUGCAUGAACUCACCAAAGAUGGGAGUUCAUGUGAAGUGUAAGGCUGAUCAACAAAAUAAAGGUUGAAGCUGAGCAUUGCUUUUAUAAGUUUGUCAAAAUAUUAUUAGCAGUUACUAAGUGUAAGUAAAUACCAAACCAUAAUAAAUAAUAGAGCAAAAUUAAUAACAAAUCCCAUACAAUGCAUAUGACUAAUUGAAUUUAAGUUACAUAAAUUAAUCAUGUGAGAGUCCUGAGCUGCUCAUGACCGUGAGCUCGGCUAGUAUACUAGUUUUACACUCUGCAGAGGUUGUACCCUUUUCCCACAAGUCGUGUUCCCCAUGUCGCCAGGGUUUGCAAGGCCCUUAGACACUACCGAGGUGAAUGGCUAGGGAUCCACGACGAGGCAUUUACAAAGUUCCACUAGCUUCCGAAAACCCGUUAUAGUUUAUGGGAAGAGCACUUGCAAGAAUCCCUCGUCUGACCGUCACCGCAGCAAAAUUAACCCGAGAACCUCCUUGCAUGCAAGUCCCCUACUGCCCUUGCCCCUUUCGGGUAAGGAAGUAUUCCACUAGCUUUCCUAAUUAGUUAGCCAAGGGGUCCCAUUCCUCCCUUGCGGUGGCACGUGUUUCUCAAGUUAAGCUCCAUGUUCCAAUUAACAAUAAUGAUCUUGACAUGAACAUAAAUAAAAUAACAGAAUAAUUGGAACAUGGAUAUAAUAAAAUAUUAACCCAAAACCAUAUAAAGAAAUAGCAAAACUACCCAAGUAAUUCAGCGGUAAACAAUGUAAAAAGGAUAAACAGACUAGGGUGACCUAUUGGGUCCCAUCAAAUUUAAACCUAUGCAUGUAUAAGUGAUAUUAAAUAACAUUAUUGGGUAAUAAAAGUGGUCAAGGGCACAACUUGCCUGGCACUUUAGAAUUCUAGGUACCAGGGUGAUUCUUCAAAUCCUCGAAACCUCACUGCUAGUCGUAGCAACACAAACAAACUUGGUAUAGACAAAAUUAACAUCACACCAAACAUAAGUACAAACCGAAUAAUAAUAAUCUACACGUUGCUACGAGAUCGUGGGAUCGAGAACUGCUAAGAUCGGAGUCGUGGUCAAGGAGUUAUGAUUCUAUAGAGGAUCUAUGUGAUUAAAAUAUUAAACUAUAUUAUAAAUUGGUUAGUGUAAAUCAUAUGAGUGGUUAUUAUAUAAAUAAUUAUCUCAGCUUUAAUCUAAGUUAUAAAUUAACCAACAUGAGUUAAGUAAAGAUCUAAUCAUAAAAUAAUGAGAAAUGGUAUAAUAAAUGUUGUUAUUGCAUAGUAAAUAUUUAUACGAGACUAACGCAACUUGAACGGAUCAAAUUGGAGUUAAAAUGGAGGAGUUAUGAAUUUCCUAAGGUUUUAUGUACUUGAUUUAAGAUUAAUUAGGAAAUAAAUUUUAAAAUGGCUUUCAUGUCAAAUCAGUGGCACUAUUUGAUAAACAAUAAUAUUAUAAAAUUAUAGGAAUUGGAAUUAAUUAAUUUGGACUAAGUAUGCAUUUUCUAUGAAUUAAACAAAUUCUAGCCUUUAUUUUUGCAUUAAAAAUCAUUUUAUAAUCCCUUUUUCUAGAUUUUAAAAUUCUCUAGCUGGGCCUCAAUUACAGGAAAGUUCAGAGGUUAAUGCGCGAAAAGUUCCAAGACACAGAUCUACCCCGUGGUGGAUGGCGGGUUGAUUCCAUUAAAAUCCGAGGGCUCUUAAGUAAAACUCCCCGGCCGAAAGGGUACGCGACGAUAUCCACCGUCCGAUCAGAUUCUGACGCGCUUGAUUAGAUCGCGAUUCCCCCGAGCUGGCGCGCAAAGACGACCACAUGAUCGAGGAUCAACGGUCCAGAAUCGCUCACCUGCCUAAAACCGCUCUAGCCUUUGGAUCUCUGAUCUACGGCCACGGAUCAAAUCCCGCAAAAGGGUAUGCGCUUUCAAUCCUAGUCGUUUGCUCUAUAACCAAUGAUGCCGAUAUCAACCGCGCCAACCAGCACCUGGAUUAAAUCCCAAUCGUCAAAACCCGAUCAAACGGUUGGGCACUCUUCUCCCCAAUCGGACCCCGACGCGACGGCGCAAACCAGCCCGCGGCGGUGGCCAUUGUCGGCGAUCCCAUACCCCUCGACCCCAUCCACGCGAGCUCGAACCGACUAGCUCAUUCCAAUGUAUGGAUUAUGGCAGAGUCAGGGGCGGCGAAAAUUACUAGAGGAGUAGGUGAGCGCAGAGAUGUCCACGCGGACACGACGGAGGAGAAUCCCGGUGAGCAAUUCCACGUGGACGAGGCCGCUAUCCCGUUGGCCAACAUUAUGCGUAGCAACGCUACGCGAUGCUGAAGCCCUAGCACUGCCUUUACUCGCCCAUACAACAGUGCAACGUGGAGGUCGACGGCAGCGGCGUGAUGAAGUCCCACAGCGGCGGUGGGCCUCCAAAUUCCCUCUCUCCCGCUUUCUCCCCCCCCUCUGGCGAAUACGACGGGAUCUCUCGGCUGAGCGUGAGUGCCGAAACGGGUCACGGGGAAGUCCUAUUUAUAUCCAGGAGACCGGGUCUGGGACGAGCGGGAG
This 2550-nucleotide long non-coding RNA is filed under the name Zea mays. RNAcentral's name for it is "long non-coding RNA (ZMAY_LNC003265)". The record is from RNAcentral. Lineage: Eukaryota; Viridiplantae; Streptophyta; Magnoliopsida; Poales; Poaceae.